AACGAACGCUGGCGGCAGGCUUAACACAUGCAAGUCGAGCGAGGACUUCGGUCCUAGCGGCGGACGGGUGAGUAACGCGUGGGAACGUGCCCUUUCCUCCGGAAUAGCCCAGGGAAACUUGGAUUAAUGCCGGAUACGCCCUUUUGGGGAGAGAUUUAUCGGGGAAGGAUCGGCCCGCGUUGGAUUAGGUAGUUGGUGGGGUAAUGGCCUACCAAGCCGACGAUCCAUAGCUGGUUUGAGAGGAUGAUCAGCCACACUGGGACUGAGACACGGCCCAGACUCCUACGGGAGGCAGCAGUGGGGAAUCUUGGACAAUGGGGGCAACCCUGAUCCAGCCAUGCCGCGUGGUCGAUGAAGGCCUUAGGGUUGUAAAGAUCUUUCAGCUGGGAAGAUAAUGACGGUACCAGCAGAAGAAGCCCCGGCUAACUCCGUGCCAGCAGCCGCCGUAA
Molecule: ribosomal RNA, 449 nt
Filed under: uncultured bacterium
Lineage: Bacteria
Description: partial 16S ribosomal RNA
Rfam family: Bacterial small subunit ribosomal RNA
Source: RNAcentral